Molecule: ribosomal RNA, 465 nt
Filed under: uncultured bacterium
Lineage: Bacteria
Description: bacterial SSU rRNA
Rfam family: Bacterial small subunit ribosomal RNA
Source: RNAcentral
UCCAGACUCCUACGGGAGGCAGCAGUGAGGAAUAUUGGUCAAUGGCCGCAGGGCUGAACCAGCCAAGUCGCGUGAGGGAUGACGGUCCUAUGGAUUGUAAACCUCUUUUGUCAGGGAGCAAUUGGGUCCACGCGCGGGCUUAGCGAGAGUACCUGAAGAAAAAGCAUCGGCUAACUCCGUGCCAGCAGCCGCGGUAAUACGGAGGAUGCGAGCGUUAUCCGGAUUUAUUGGGUUUAAAGGGUGCGUAGGCGGAAUAUCAAGUCAGCGGUAAAAAUUCGGGGCUCAACCCCGUCGUGCCGUUGAAACUGAUGUUCUUGAGUGGGCGAGAAGUAUGCGGAAUGCGUGGUGUAGCGGUGAAAUGCAUAGAUAUCACGCAGAACUCCGAUUGCGAAGGCAGCAUACCGGCGCCCAACUGACGCUGAAGCACGAAAGCGUGGGUAUCGAACAGGAUUAGAUACCCGCGUA